RNAcentral lists this ribosomal RNA (802 nucleotides) under Bacillus pumilus. RNAcentral's name for it is "bacterial SSU rRNA". It matches the Rfam family "Bacterial small subunit ribosomal RNA", at positions 94 to 879 of the family's 1533-position model. The record is from RNAcentral. Lineage: Bacteria; Bacillati; Bacillota; Bacilli; Caryophanales; Bacillaceae.
AUCGACGGACGAGUGAGUAACACGCGGGUAACCUGCCGGUAAGACUGGGAUAACUCCGGGAAACCCCAUCCUAAUACCGGAUAGUUCCCUCGAACAGCGAGGGUUCAAGGAUGAAAGACGGUUUCGGGUGUCACUUUCAGAUGGACACGCGGCGCACUAGAUAGUAGGUGGGGUAAUGGCUCUACAAGGUGGGUAUGGGUACCUCUCCUCAGAGGGUGAUCGGCCACACUGCGAGUGAGGCGCGUCCCAGACUCCUUCGGGAGGCAGCAGUAGGGAAUCUUCCGCAAGGGACCAAAGUGGGAUGGAGCACCACGGGGGGAGUGAUGAAGGUUCUCGGAUCGUAAAACUCUGUUGUCAGGGAAGACCUAGUGCGAGAGUAUCUGCUAGCACCAUGACGGUACCUAACCAGGAAGCCACGGCUAACUACGUGCCAGCAGCCGCGGUAAUACGUAGGUGGCAAGCGUUGUCCGGAAUUAUUGGGCGUAAAGGAGUCGCAGGCGGUUUUUUAAGUCUGAUGUGAAAACCCCCGGCUCAACCGGGGAGGGUCAUUUGAAACUGGGUAUCUUGAGUGCAGAAGAGGAGAGUGGAAUUCCUCGUGUAGCGGUGAAAUGCGUAGAGAUGUGGAGGAACACCAGUGGCGAAGGCGACUCUCUGGUCUGUAACUGACGCUGAGGAGCGAAAGCGUGGGGAGCGAACAGGAUUAGAUACCCUGGUAGUCCACGCCGUAAACGAUGAGUGCUAAGUGUUAGGGGGUUUCCCCCCCUUAGUGCCGCAGCUAACGCAUUAACACUCCGCCUGGAGC